RNAcentral lists this transfer RNA (72 nucleotides) under Dichelobacter nodosus VCS1703A. It matches the Rfam family "tRNA". Rfam says of the family: Transfer RNA (tRNA) molecules are approximately 80 nucleotides in length. Their secondary structure includes four short double-helical elements and three loops (D, anti-codon, and T loops). Lineage: Bacteria; Pseudomonadati; Pseudomonadota; Gammaproteobacteria; Cardiobacteriales; Cardiobacteriaceae. The record is from Rfam by way of RNAcentral.
GGGUCGUUAGCUCAGCGGUAGAGCAGUUGACUCUUAAUCAAUUGGUCGAAGGUUCGAACCCUUCACGACCCA